Molecule: small RNA, 21 nt
Filed under: Arabidopsis thaliana (thale cress)
Lineage: Eukaryota; Viridiplantae; Streptophyta; Magnoliopsida; Brassicales; Brassicaceae
Description: ATSL115450
Source: RNAcentral
AAAACAAAAAGACGAAAAAAA